GACGAACGCUGGCGGCGUGCUUAACACAUGCAAGUCGAACGGAAAGGCCCUGCUUUUGUGGGGUGCUCGAGUGGCGAACGGGUGAGUAACACGUGAGUAACCUGCCCUUGACUUUGGGAUAACUUCAGGAAACUGGGGCUAAUACCGGAUAGGAGCUCCUGCUGCAUGGUGGGGGUUGGAAAGUUUCGGCGGUUGGGGAUGGACUCGCGGCUUAUCAGCUUGUUGGUGGGGUAGUGGCUUACCAAGGCUUUGCAGGGUAGCCGGCCUGAGAGGGUGACCGGCCACAUUGGUACUGAGAUACGGCCCAGACUCCUACGGGAGGCAGCAGUGGGGAAUAUUGCACAAUGGGAGGAAGGCUGAUGCAGCAACGCGGCGUGCGGGAUGACGGCCUUCGGGUUAUAAACCGCUUUCGCCUGUGACGAAGCGUGAGUGACGGUAAUGGGUAAAGAAGCACCGGCUAACUACGUG
RNAcentral lists this ribosomal RNA (468 nucleotides) under uncultured bacterium. RNAcentral's name for it is "partial 16S ribosomal RNA". It matches the Rfam family "Bacterial small subunit ribosomal RNA", at positions 28 to 507 of the family's 1533-position model. The record is from RNAcentral.